Non-coding RNA from Podarcis lilfordi (Lilford's wall lizard), 3065 nucleotides. NCBI's taxonomy places the organism in Eukaryota, Metazoa, Chordata, Lepidosauria, Squamata, Lacertidae. The record is from the annotation of a GenBank genome assembly.
CUGGUAACCUCUAGGUUGGAUUACUGCAAUUCGUAAUACGCAGGACUGCAUUUGAAGACGGUUCAGAAACUUCAGCUGGUGCAAAAUUCAUUGGCCAGAUUGCUCACCAGCAUGAGACAGUCUGAGCAUAUAAUGUCGAUCCUGGCCCAGCUGGCUGGCGUUUGGUUUCCGGGCUCAACUCAAAGUGCUGGUGCUGACCCAUAAAGCCUUCCAUGGUUCAGGACCUCAAUGCCUUUAGGACCACUUCUCCCCAUAGGAACCAACACAGACCUUCACUUAUCAUCCAAGGCCCUUCUCUUUCCCCUCUCAUACCUGAGAGGUUCGGAGAACGGGCCUUUUCUGUGGUGGCUCCCCAUCUGUGGAAUGCUCUCCCCAGAGAGGCCCACCUGGUGCCAUCAUUCCAUUCCUUUUUAUGCAGGCCUUUGGCCAUUCAGUAAUCUAUGGCCUGGUACAGCUGUGUGGGGACGACUGUUAUUAUGCUGAUUUUAUUAUGAUGCUGUCCAUUAUGAUGCUUUUUUUUAUUCUUAUUUUUAUGCUCCACAAAAUGUGUUCUUAAUGUAGUACACUGCCCUGGGAUCUUUUGAUAAAGGGCAGUAUAUAAACUGAAUUAUCAACAAGUGUUGGCUUUUUGCAGUAUAGUAACGCUGCAGAGAGCUUGCUGGGGAGACCACGCAUUAAAAAGGACUCAAAAAUAACUUAAACAAGGUUUUAAUAACAAAAACAAAAACUCCUUAAACACUAAAUACAUCAACAACAAACCAGACCCAACCACCAACCCAUCCCCCAGGGUAAUGGGAGAGCUAGGUGCUGCUCCUUAUAUACUACACCCAAUUACCAACACAGCUUAAUCAAUACAACUCAACAGCCCCUUCUAUGUUUCACAGCUGUAAAGCUGGGUCUCCUUAUCUUGCUCUGGCCCUUGCUCUGGCCCCUUAAAUACAUACACAUCGGGUGGAACAAUGAUGAACCUUUACAUUUAAAGAAACAAUUCAACAACAAGAACAACUUAAUAAUAUUAAUUUCUACCCAGGCAAAAACAUUCAAAAUCUGAACCCAUGGUGUGACAAGUAGGGAUGGGUGGUCUGCCAAUUUUGAUUUCUUGUUUUUCUGGUCUUAAAUUUCCACCAGUUUGUGUAUUUUAUUUUAUUUUGAAGAACAUGAUCUUGAAAAUUCAUCACCAUUAUAGUGCAAAUUUCUCCAAUUAUACACCUAUAUAUAUUCACCUCCUAUAUAUUCUCAUUAUUAUCAAGUGCUGGGAGGGGGGUGGUGAAGGGUGCUGUGAGCCUUUUGCCUUCCCUCCCAGCCAGAAAGACGAGGCAACUUCUAGCUAAGAGUUAAGCUGUGUGCCCAUCCAACCAUUUUAUGCUGUGUGUGUGUUUGUGUGUCAGUAACCACUAGUGCGUGAUCACAAGGAGGCUAUAUAAAUAUAUGUCAGAAACAUUUACAAAUCCCGAAAGUCUGACUUAUGCCAACAAGAUAAAGGAUUUAUAUGAAAAAUUCAUCCAUCAUUCAUUAUUAUCCUGCUUUAAAUAAAAUUGCCCAGGCUUCCAAUCAGAGGGUAGGGACGAGACCACGGGACAUCUGUGACAAAUUGCAAGCUGUGACUAUAAUGAAUAGAUUAGUGGACCUUGUUGAAUAAGCCAUUGGAUGGGAUUCAUUUGCAUAAGGCAGCCAGAGAAUAAAUACAUAUUUUUAUUAGCAUUAGUGCUACCGGAGUAUCAUCUCUGGUAAACCAGCACCUGAGGGGCCUUCCUACAGUAGGAGCAAAGUGGCUUUUGAUGGGAUUGUUUCGGAGACCCAUCAUCUAGUGGCAAAGAGAAAGGGCCUGUAGCAGGGUGGGAAAGAGAGGGGGGAGGAGGAGAAGAGAAGAGAUCUACACAGAGUCCACUGAACGCUACAGGCGGAAAGAUAAGACAAUUAAAGAGGAGCGUGACUUACUGUGAAUAAAAAGGUCGCAGGCAAUGCAAGGGCUUCUUAUGGGUGCCAAGGGGGGAAAGGAAGGCCACGGAGAGAGCAGGGUAUUAACAAACGAGCCUGGUCUGGAGUGGAUGAAUAGCUUUUAAACGGCUGUUACCCAAUUGCUUUUUUGUUUUGUUUUUAAUAAAUUGCUCUUUAGGAAGAUAACUAAAGAGAAGAGGCAGCGGACAAUUAGGAAGUAAUGAAGACCUUGUAAAUACACUUACCGAUAAAAACGCACGUAGGAGAAUGCUUGAGAAAGCAAACAUAUACAUAUCGGCAGUUGGUCUAGGCAAGAGGCUGCGGGAAUUAUUAAAGGAGUUGACUGGGAGAGCCGAGGUUCUUUUAUCCUCACUCUCUCUUGCAUUAAGCUGUAAGUAUUGCUGGCGAGAGCUUAGCAUGAUUUUGUGAACCUCAGUCAAGAUUUAGGUUCACAAAAGACAGACACCGGUGGCUUGAGAGGACGAGACCAAUAGUGGGUCCAGUGAUCAAGUAGGGUUGUUUUGAAUUCCUUUUGGGAAUUAAUAGGGACUUGUUGUUGUUUAGUUGUUUAGUCAUGUCCGAUUAUUCAUGACCCGAUGGACCAGAGCACGCCAGGCACUCCUGUCUUCCACUGCCUCCCGCAGUUUGGUCAAACUCAUGCUGGUAACUUCAAGAACACUGUCCAACCAUCUCGUCCUCUGUCGUCCCCUUCUCCUUGUGCCCUCCAUCUUUACCAGCAUCAGGGUCUUUUCCAGGGAGUCUUCUCUUCUCAUGAGGUGGCCAAGUAUUGGAGCCUCAGCUUCAGGAUCUGUUCUUCCAGUGAGCACUCAGGGCUGAUUUCCUUAAGAAUGGAUAGGUUUGAUCUUCUUGCAGUCCAUGGGACUCUCAAGAGUCUCCUCCAGCACCAUAAUUCAAAAGCAUCAAUUCUUCGGCGAUCAGCCUUCUUUAUGGUCCAGCUCUCACUUAACAGGGACAGAACUACCCAAACGGUACAGAAACUUAUUCAUGUAUGGUACUACAGUGGCAAGAAUAUUACUUGCCCCAAAACGGGAAGAAGUAGAAGUCCCAGCAAAGGAAGAAUGGAUACAAAAACUUAUGGAAUAUGCAGAAAUGGUGAAACUUACCAG